This 253-nucleotide ribosomal RNA is filed under the name uncultured bacterium. Its description in RNAcentral is "partial 16S ribosomal RNA". It matches the Rfam family "Bacterial small subunit ribosomal RNA", at positions 524 to 776 of the family's 1533-position model. The record is from RNAcentral.
UACGAGGGGGGCAAGCGUUGUUCGGAAUUAUUGGGCGUAAAGGGCGCGUAGGCGGAUAGGGAAGUCAGAUGUGAAAUCCUGGGGCUCAACCCCAGAACUGCAUUUGAAACUCCCUAUCUAGAGGGUGGGCGGAGAUAACGGAAUUCCACAAGUAGCGGUGAAAUGCGUAGAUAUGUGGAAGAACACCGGUGGCGAAGGCGGUUAUCUAGCUUACUCCUGACGCUGAGGCGCGAAAGCAAGGGGAUCAAACAGG